Molecule: transfer RNA, 92 nt
Filed under: compost metagenome
Description: tRNA-Arg
Source: RNAcentral
CGCCGAUCUGGGCGGGCAGGUGCAUGGUGCACUCUGCGGCGGGGUGCAGCAGGGGCCGGACCUUGGCGGCGUUCGCCUCGUCGGUCAGCAGC